This 437-nucleotide ribosomal RNA is filed under the name uncultured bacterium. RNAcentral describes it as "bacterial SSU rRNA". It matches the Rfam family "Bacterial small subunit ribosomal RNA", at positions 340 to 773 of the family's 1533-position model. The record is from RNAcentral.
UACGGAAGGCAGCAGUGGGGAAUAUUGCACAAUGGGCGCAAGCCUGAUGCAGCCAUGCCGCGUGUAUGAAGAAGGCCUUCGGGUUGUAAAGUACUUUCAGUCGUGAGGAAGGUGUUAAGGUUAAUAACCUUAGCAUUGACGUUAGCGACAGAAGAAGCACCGGCUAACUCCGUGCCAGCAGCCGCGGUAAUACGGAGGGUGCGAGCGUUAAUCGGAAUUACUGGGCGUAAAGGGCACGCAGGCGGUUAAUUAAGUUGGAUGUGAAAUCCCCGGGCUUAACCUGGGAAUGGCAUUCAAGCUGGUUAGCUAGAGUCUUGUAGAGGGGGUAGAAUUCCAUGUGUAGCGGUGAAAUGCGUAGAGAUGUGGAGGAAUACCGGUGGCGAAGGCGGCCCCUGGACAAAGACUGACGCUCAUGUGCGAAAGCGUGGGGAGCAAAC